UACGUAGGGUCCGAGCGUUGUCCGGAAUUACUGGGCGUAAAGAGCUCGUAGGUGGUUUGUCGCGUUGUUCGUGAAAACUCACAGCUCAACUGUGGGCGUGCGGGCGAUACGGGCAGACUAGAGUGCGGUAGGGGAGACUGGAAUUCCUGGUGUAGCGGUGGAAUGCGCAGAUAUCAGGAGGAACACCGAUGGCGAAGGCAGGUCUCUGGGCCGGAACUGACGCUGAGGAGCGAAAGCGUGGGUAGCAAACAGG
RNAcentral lists this ribosomal RNA (253 nucleotides) under uncultured bacterium. RNAcentral describes it as "partial 16S ribosomal RNA". It matches the Rfam family "Bacterial small subunit ribosomal RNA", at positions 524 to 776 of the family's 1533-position model. The record is from RNAcentral.